UGCGCUGGCGGCAGCUUAACCUGCAGUUUAGCGGGGAAGGUAGCUUGCCCCUAACCUAACGGCGGACGGGUGAGUAUGCUUAGGAAUCUGCCUAUUAGUGGGGGACAACGUUUCGAAAGGAACGCUAAUACCGCAUACGUCCUACGGGAGAAAGCAGGGGAUCAUUUGACCUUGUGCUAAUAGAUGAGCCUAAGUCGCGAUUAGCUAAGUUGGUGGGGUAAAAGGCCUACCAAGGCGACGAUCUGUAGCGGGUCUGAGAGGAUGAUCCGCACACUGGGACUGAGACACGGCCAGACUCCUACGGGAGUGCAGCAGUGGGGAAUAUUGGACAAUGGGCGCAAGCCUGAUCCAGCCAUGCCGCGUGUGUGAAGAAGGCCUUAUGGUUGUAAAGCACUUUAAGCGAGGAGGAGGAGCUUCAGGUUAAUACCCUGGAUGCUUGGACGUUACUCGCAGAAUAAGCACCGGCUAACUCUGUGCCAGCAGCCGCGGUAAUACAGAGGGUGCAAGCGUUAAUCGGAUUUACUGGGCGUAAAGCGUGCGUAGGCGGCUAAUUAAGUCAAACUGUGAAAUCCCCGAGCUUAACUUUGGGAAUUGCAUUCGAUACUGGUUAGCUAGAGUAUGGGAGAGGAUGGUAGAAUUCCAGGUGUAGCGGUGAAAUGCGUAGAGAUCUUGGGAGGGAAUCACCCCGAUGGGCGGAAAAUGCCAGGCCCAUUCCUUGGGGCCUUAAAUUUACUUGGACGCCCUGAAGGUAACGAAAAAGCCAUUCGGGGGAGCACAACCAGGAUUUUAGAAUCCCCUUGGAUGUCCAUUGCCGAAACCGAUUUUUCACUCAGCCGUUGGGGGCUUUGGAGACCCUUAUGGGGCCCAGUCACGCAAAAUAAACCGCGGGGCAU
Molecule: ribosomal RNA, 893 nt
Filed under: uncultured Acinetobacter sp.
Lineage: Bacteria; Pseudomonadati; Pseudomonadota; Gammaproteobacteria; Moraxellales; Moraxellaceae
Description: bacterial SSU rRNA
Rfam family: Bacterial small subunit ribosomal RNA (bases 1-742)
Source: RNAcentral